RNAcentral lists this ribosomal RNA (163 nucleotides) under Naxioides taurus. RNAcentral describes it as "partial 16S ribosomal RNA". Lineage: Eukaryota; Metazoa; Arthropoda; Malacostraca; Decapoda; Epialtidae. The record is from RNAcentral.
GCUUUAUAAUAAAAUAGGUUUUUAAAAAAUAAAUUAUAAAAGUAAAAUUUAUUUUUUUAUUUUAUUGGGGCGAUACGGAUAUAAAUGUUAUUAACUGUCAGAAUAAAAACCACAUAUGUGUGAAAUAUAAUAUGAUCCUAAUUAAAGAUUAAAAGAUAAAGUU